AGCGAACGCUGGCGGCAGGCUUAACACAUGCAAGUCGAGCGGGCACUUUCGGGUGUCCGCGGCGGACGGGUGCGUAACGCGUGGGAACGUGCCCUCUUGUUCGGAAUAACUCAGGGAAACUUGAGCUAAUACCGGAUACGCCCUUUUGGGGAAAGGCUUGCUGCCGGAGGAUCGGCCCGCGUCUGAUUAGCUAGUUGGUGAGGUAACGGCUCACCAAGGCGACGAUCAGUAGCUGGUCUGAGAGGAUGAUCAGCCACACUGGGGCUGAGACACGGCCCAGACUCCUACGGGAGGCAGCAGUGGGGAAUAUUGGACAAUGGGCGCAAGCCUGAACCAGCCAUGCCGCGUGAGUGAUGAAGGCCUUAGGGUUGUAAAGCUCUUUUAUCCGGGACGAUAAUGACGGUACCGGAGGAAUAAGCCCCGGCUAACUUCGUG
RNAcentral lists this ribosomal RNA (435 nucleotides) under uncultured bacterium. RNAcentral describes it as "partial 16S ribosomal RNA". It matches the Rfam family "Bacterial small subunit ribosomal RNA", at positions 29 to 507 of the family's 1533-position model. The record is from RNAcentral.